This is a small nucleolar RNA of Malus domestica (apple), 71 nucleotides long. RefSeq annotates it as small nucleolar RNA snoR28. NCBI's taxonomy places the organism in Eukaryota, Viridiplantae, Streptophyta, Magnoliopsida, Rosales, Rosaceae. The record is from RefSeq and is a predicted model, not a curated record.
AAUGAAGGGGAUGACGUUUUUUUAUGCAAAUAUGAAUAUGAUAUUCAUUGGCACAUCGUCUUUCAUAAAUU